This 265-nucleotide long non-coding RNA is filed under the name Elaeis guineensis (African oil palm). Its description in RNAcentral is "long non-coding RNA (EGUI_LNC022807)". The record is from RNAcentral. Lineage: Eukaryota; Viridiplantae; Streptophyta; Magnoliopsida; Arecales; Arecaceae.
UUUCUUUAGAUAGCACAGCACCUGGCCUUCCUUCCUCUCCUCCUAGCCUUUUCCUUUCUCCACCUUUCUUUUCUCCUUGCCUUUCCUAAUUCUCUUCCUAGACCCUUGUCCUAAAAUGAGACUUGUCCUUACUAUUUUGGACUUAUCUUAACAAGGAAAGGAAGAGAGCUAUUCAAGCAACCUAAGAGACUAUGUAAGAAAGAAGAGAUUUGGAACUUCUCCGAUGGAUCAGAACCCUGGUGUGCCACCCUUUUUAUAGUUGGAG